AUGGAGAUACCGGUGGCGAAGGCGGCCCCUGGACAAAGACUGACGUCAGUGCGAAGCGUGGGAGCAAACAGGAUAGAUACCUGGUAGUCACGCGUAAACGAUGUCGACUUGGAGCUGUGCCCUUGAGGCGUGGCUUCCGGAGCUAACGCGUUAAGUCGACCGCCUGGGGAGUACGGCCGCAAGGUUAAAACUCAAAUGAAUUGACGGGGGCCCUCACAAGCGGUGGAGCAUGUGGUUUAAUUCGAUGCAACGCGAAGAACCUUACGUACUCUUGACAUCCAGAGAACUUAGCAGAGAUGCUUUGGUGCCUUCGGGAACUCUGAGACAGGUGCUGCAUGGCUGUCGUCAGCUCGUGUUGUGAAAUGUUGGGUUAAGUCCCGCAACGAGCGCAACCCUUAUCCUUUGUUGCCAGCGCGUGAUGGCGGGAACUCAAAGGAGACUGCCGGUGAUAAACCGGAGGAAGGUGGGGAUGACGUCAAGUCAUCAUGGCCCUUACGAGUAGGGCUACACACGUGCUACAAUGGCGUAUACAAAGGGAAGCGACCCUGCGAAGGCAAGCGGAACUCAUAAAGUACGUCGUAGUCCGGAUUGGAGUCUGCAACUCGACUCCAUGAAGUCGGAAUCGCUAGUAAUCGUAGAUCAGAAUGCUACGGUGAAUACGUUCCCGGGCCUUGUACACACCGCCCGUUACACCAUGGGAGUGGGUUGCAAAAGAAGUAGGUAGCUUAACCUCCGGGAGGGCGCUAACCACUUAGUGAUUCAUGACUGGGGUGAAGUCGUAACAAGGUAAGAAUAGGGAAGUC
Molecule: ribosomal RNA, 803 nt
Filed under: Morganella sp. A21
Lineage: Bacteria; Pseudomonadati; Pseudomonadota; Gammaproteobacteria; Enterobacterales; Morganellaceae
Description: bacterial SSU rRNA
Rfam family: Bacterial small subunit ribosomal RNA
Source: RNAcentral